GAUGAACGCUGGCGGCGUGCCUAAUACAUGCAAGUCGAGCGAACAGGCGAGGAGCUUGCUCCUCUGACGUUAGCGGCGGACGGGUGAGUAACACGUGGAUAACCUACCUAUAAGACUGGGAUAACUUCGGGAAACCGGAGCUAAUACCGGAUAAUAUAUUGAACCGCAUGGUUCAAUAGUGAAAGACGGUUUUGCUGUCACCUAUAGAUGGAUCCGCGCCGCAUUAGCUAGUUGGUAAGGUAACGGCUUACCAAGGCAACGAUGCGUAGCCGACCUGAGAGGGUGAUCGGCCACACUGGAACUGAGGCACGGUCCAGACUCCUACGGGAGGCAGCAGUAGGGAAUCUUCCGCAAUGGGCGAAAGCCUGACGGAGCAACGCCGCGUGAGUGAUGAAGGUCUUCGGAUCGUAAAACUCUGUUAUUAGGGAAGAACAAAUGUGUAAGUAACUAUGCACGUCUUGACGGUACCUAAUCAGAAAGCCACGGCUAACUACGUG
RNAcentral lists this ribosomal RNA (497 nucleotides) under uncultured bacterium. RNAcentral describes it as "partial 16S ribosomal RNA". It matches the Rfam family "Bacterial small subunit ribosomal RNA", at positions 28 to 507 of the family's 1533-position model. The record is from RNAcentral.